Molecule: ribosomal RNA, 92 nt
Filed under: Tropidurus hygomi
Lineage: Eukaryota; Metazoa; Chordata; Lepidosauria; Squamata; Tropiduridae
Description: partial 16S large subunit ribosomal RNA
Source: RNAcentral
UUCGAAGCCCUAGCUCAACCACCCCCUCCAACACAUCUGCCAAUAGAAUCAAAACAAACCAUUUGACACUACUAGUAAAGGCGAUUGAACAU